Molecule: ribosomal RNA, 443 nt
Filed under: uncultured bacterium
Lineage: Bacteria
Description: partial 16S ribosomal RNA
Rfam family: Bacterial small subunit ribosomal RNA
Source: RNAcentral
CCUACGGGAGGCAGCAGUGGGGAAUAUUGGGCAAUGGACGCAACCCUGACCCAGCAACGCCGCGUGAAUGAUGAAGGCUUUCGGAUUGUAAAGUUCUUUUCUCAGGGACGAAGCAAGUGACGGUACCUUACGAAUAAGCCUCGGCUAACUACGUGCCAGCCGCCGCGGUAAUACGUAGGUGGCAAGCGUUAUCCGGAAUGACUGGGCGUAAAGGGCGUGUAGGCGGUAUAGCAAGUCAGAAGUGAAACCCCCGGGCUCAACUUCUGAACUACAUUUGAAACUGUUGGGCUUGAGUGCCGGAGAGGCAAUCGGAAUUCCGGGUGUAGCGGUGGAAUGCGUAGAUAUAAGGAGGAACACCAGUGGCGAAGGCGGAUUGCUGGACAGUAACUGACGCUGAGGCGCGAAAGCGUGGGGAGCAAACAGGAUUAGAUACCCGAGUAGUC